Long non-coding RNA from Panthera uncia (snow leopard), 846 nucleotides. RefSeq lists it as uncharacterized. The transcript has 4 exons. NCBI's taxonomy places the organism in Eukaryota, Metazoa, Chordata, Mammalia, Carnivora, Felidae. The record is from RefSeq and is a predicted model, not a curated record.
AACAUGCAACCUUUGUUUAAUUACUGAUCAAGUAAAGUUUUGACUUAUAACCUGUGACUUUCCUUCCUUUGGUUUGCAUGUUCCAUACAUAUUCAAAGAAACUCAUGGUGAUGAAAGUACUCAACAAUAGACAAAGUAUGGCAUAAAGCCAUGAAAAUACCGGGAAAAGAUAAUCUCCAGCAUUAACAUCAGACAACUGGCAGUUCAAAAAACAAUGCGGAUGAUGAACAAAGCAUUACUUAUAAACCGAUGUAAUGUGAAUAAGGACAGAUCCACUGACACCAUCAGGACAACACGUUUCUAACCCUUGUGCCAGGAAGAAACCUGACAGUUGAAGACUGACAAGGCUCCAUGCAAGCCUUUAACAUCUUUACUCAAAUGGAACAAAUACCUAUACCUAACAACACAAGAAGUGGAUAUAUCACUUGAUUUAAAAGGGUUUGUAUAAUUAUCCAGGAAUCAUCAAAUUUCUGCUUCACAACAGAACAGUAUCACAAGAACAAUUGUUGGCAGUUAUCAAACCACUGCAGUGCAACCGGCCUCCUGAAGCUCGGGGUUAAAAGCUGGCCUCUGGAAAUCAAUCAUGCUCUCGGCAGAGAAGAAUAUUUCAGUGAUAUGAAAGCUGAAAUGGAGACUAUAAUCUUUUGUGAUUACCCUCGAGGCCGAAGCAAACGCAAAAAGGAAAGUCCAUGAAUUGCUGAUAAUUUCCUGUGAUGACCGAUUCCCAGGAAAUUCAGAUAGAACUCUUGCUCUGUAACAAAAUGAUGGUUCUCCCCAGAACUGCAGCCUCAAAGAACUCCACAUCCAGAUGUCACAAUGCUUCUUCAGAAGCUAUUCACCCAUAAG